Chiloscyllium plagiosum (whitespotted bambooshark) is the source of this 367-nucleotide non-coding RNA. Lineage: Eukaryota; Metazoa; Chordata; Chondrichthyes; Orectolobiformes; Hemiscylliidae. The record is from RefSeq and is a predicted model, not a curated record.
CAGUCAGCGUGAACAUUCUAUUUUUUCAGCAUGAAGUAAUCAAGCAGUAAUUCAGAGUUGCACAGAGUUGUGAAUGCUAAAGAAAACCAUCUCAAAGCAAUUCAUGGAUACUUAAGCAUCUACUGCUUUCUGGAGAAGAGAAUUGGUUGAGAGAAAGAUAAAACUCCUCACCUUCAGCUGAAAAGUGGGAGACAACUUGUUGUUAACUCGUGAAUUCGUGACGCUGAGGCCGGGGCAAUGGAGUAUGGUCACCGACAAAGAGUGGAAGAGCAGAAGCAGUCUUCAGACAAUGCCAGGCUGGACUUUAUGCAAGUGGCAAAGGUCCCAUUGUUGGAGUUAAAGUUGGAGUUAAGAACUGUGAUCCUAU